RNAcentral lists this ribosomal RNA (227 nucleotides) under uncultured Polaribacter sp. RNAcentral's name for it is "partial 16S ribosomal RNA". It matches the Rfam family "Bacterial small subunit ribosomal RNA", at positions 198 to 426 of the family's 1533-position model. The record is from RNAcentral. Lineage: Bacteria; Pseudomonadati; Bacteroidota; Flavobacteriia; Flavobacteriales; Flavobacteriaceae.
UAAUUAAAGAUUUAUCGGUAAAAGAUGGCUAUGCGUCCUAUUAGUUAGUUGGUAAGGUAACGGCUUACCAAGACAGCGAUAGGUAGGGGUCCUGAGAGGGAGAUCCCCCACACUGGUACUGAGACACGGACCAGACUCCUACGGGAGGCAGCAGUGAGGAAUAUUGGACAAUGGAGGAGACUCUGAUCCAUCCAUGCCGCGUGUAGGAAGAAUGCCCUAUGGGUUGU